UUGACGCAAAUUAACUUUCUACAACUACGAAAAAUGUGGAGAAUGUCUAUAAGUGGAAUCACCAAAUUACGAACAAUUUAUACUGUCCACUCUUGCGAAAUGCUGCAACAGCCCCAUACAAACUUGGAAAAGCUAAAAGCUGAGUAUCUUACUUACUUGUAAAUCCAAACUGGCUAACUACUCUUUGCAUCCUGGCUACUUUCUGUUCGGUAAUGCUCAUUCAUUAAUUUGAAUUGUAUAGUUGUCAAAUGAUUUAUCUGUCCAUGUCAAAGUCGCAUGUGAGUGUAGUUGCUGGCGUUGCAGAAAGGGAAACUGCAUCAACAAUAUUUGUAACCACUUCCAAAUUUCUGCUACUAGUACCAAGCUGACUACUAACUCCUCCAGCUAAAUGUAUGUACUACUUCGAAGUGGUUGCAAAUCAUGGUUUUUCUGCAUGAGUCAAUACAUAAUAAAUUCGUACUAUUUUUCAGUGUACAGGUUUUCAGUGCUCAAAACCAACAGGCAUGGAUUUUAUACACGGGCACAGGUGACAAUUCUCGUUGAUGUACAGGACAAUCCUUCGAGGAAGCAAAGAAUAUUGACGUUGAGGUAGCUUAAGUGAACAUACAAAUCAAAGAUAACUUGAAUUUGAAGCAUUAUAAAGCGAAAGGUUGAAGGUAUC
Molecule: long non-coding RNA, 661 nt
Filed under: Physcomitrium patens
Lineage: Eukaryota; Viridiplantae; Streptophyta; Bryopsida; Funariales; Funariaceae
Description: long non-coding RNA (PPAT_LNC008345)
Source: RNAcentral